This 183-nucleotide ribosomal RNA is filed under the name uncultured bacterium. RNAcentral's name for it is "partial 16S ribosomal RNA". It matches the Rfam family "Bacterial small subunit ribosomal RNA", at positions 1318 to 1500 of the family's 1533-position model. The record is from RNAcentral.
GUAUGAAGUUGGAAUCGCUAGUAAUCGCGGAUCAGCAUGCCGCGGUGAAUACGUUCCCGGGCCUUGUACACACCGCCCGUCACACCAUGAGAGUCGGGAACACCCGAAGUCCGUAGCCUAACCGCAAGGGGGGCGCGGCCGAAGGUGGGUUCGAUAAUUGGGGUGAAGUCGUAACAAGGUAAC